Molecule: ribosomal RNA, 600 nt
Filed under: bacterium
Lineage: Bacteria
Description: bacterial SSU rRNA
Rfam family: Bacterial small subunit ribosomal RNA
Source: RNAcentral
ACCUUCGGGUGCAGUUAAUGGGCGUCGAGCGGCGGACGGGUGAGUAAUGCCUAGGAAAUUGCCUUGAUGUGGGGGAUAACCAUUGGAAACGAUGGCUAAUACCGCAUAAUGCCUACGGGCCAAAGAGGGGGAUCUUCGGACCUCUCGCGUCAAGAUAUGCCUAGGUGGGAUUAGCUAGUUGGUGAGGUAAUGGCUCACCAAGGCGACGAUCCCUAGCUGGUCUGAGAGGAUGAUCAGCCACACUGGAACUGAGACACGGUCCAGACUCCUACGGGAGGCAGCAGUGGGGAAUAUUGCACAAUGGGCGAAAGCCUGAUGCAGCCAUGCCGCGUGUAUGAAGAAGGCCUUCGGGUUGUAAAGUACUUUCAGUUGUGAGGAAGGGGGUAACGUUAAUAGCGGUAUCUCUUGACGUUAGCAACAGAAGAAGCACCGGCUAACUCCGUGCCAGCAGCCGCGGUAAUACGGAGGGUGCGAGCGUUAAUCGGAAUUACUGGGCGUAAAGCGCAUGCAGGUGGUUCAUUAAGUCAGAUGUGAAAGCCCGGGGCUCAACCUCGGAACUGCAUUUGAAACUGGUGAACUAGAGUGCUGUAGAGGGGGGUA